RNAcentral lists this transfer RNA (56 nucleotides) under Scorpiops jendeki. RNAcentral's name for it is "tRNA-Cys". The record is from RNAcentral. Lineage: Eukaryota; Metazoa; Arthropoda; Arachnida; Scorpiones; Euscorpiidae.
AACCAAAUAGUUUAAUUAAAACAGUUAAUUGCAAAUUAAAAAAUAAAUACUGGUUA